RNAcentral lists this ribosomal RNA (409 nucleotides) under bacterium. RNAcentral's name for it is "partial 16S ribosomal RNA". It matches the Rfam family "Bacterial small subunit ribosomal RNA", at positions 355 to 776 of the family's 1533-position model. The record is from RNAcentral.
UGGGGAAUAUUGCACAAUGGGCGAAAGCCUGAUGCAGCGACGCCGCGUGAGGGAUGACGGCCUUCGGGUUGUAAACCUCUUACAGCAGGGACGAAGCGCAAGUGACGGUACCUGCAGAAGAAGCACCGGCUAACUACGUGCCAGCAGCCGCGGUAAUACGUAGGGUGCAAGCGUUGUCCGGAAUUACUGGGCGUAAAGAGUUCGUAGGCGGUUUGUCGCGUCGUUUGUGAAAACCAGCAGCUCAACUGCUGGCUUGCAGGCGAUACGGGCAGACUUGAGUACUGCAGGGGAGACUGGAAUUCCUGGUGUAGCGGUGAAAUGCGCAGAUAUCAGGAGGAACACCGGUGGCGAAGGCGGGUCUCUGGGCAGUAACUGACGCUGAGGAACGAAAGCGUGGGUAGCGAACAGG